RNAcentral lists this ribosomal RNA (600 nucleotides) under uncultured bacterium. RNAcentral's name for it is "bacterial SSU rRNA". The stretch from base 1 to 524 matches the Rfam family "Bacterial small subunit ribosomal RNA", at positions 338 to 873 of the family's 1533-position model. The record is from RNAcentral.
CCUACGGGAGGCAGCAGUGGGGAAUAUUGGGCAAUGGAGGAAACUCUGACCCAGCGACGCCGCGUGCGGGAUGAAGGCCUUCGGGUUGUAAACCGCUUUCAGCAGGGAAGAAGCGAAAGUGACGGUACCUGCAGAAGAAGCACCGGCUAACUAUGUGCCAGCAGCCGCGGUAAUACAUAGGGUGCAAGCGUUGUCCGGAAUUAUUGGGCGUAAAGAGCUCGUAGGUGGUUCGUCACGUCGGAUGUGAAAAUCUGGGGCUUAACCCCAGACCUGCAUUCGAUACGGGCGAGCUUGAGUAUGGUAGGGGAGUCUGGAAUUCCUGGUGUAGCGGUGGAAUGCGCAGAUAUCAGGAGGAACACCAAUGGCGAAGGCAGGACUCUGGGCCAUUACUGACACUGAGGAGCGAAAGCGUGGGGAGCGAACAGGAUUAGAUACCCUGGUAGUCCACGCCGUAAACGGUGGGCACUAGUUGUGGGGACCUUCCACGGUCUCUGCGACGCAGCUAACGCAUUAAGUGCCCCGCCUGGGGAGUACGGNUCGAGAGUAACUUAACACAANAGUAGUGCGNGUGAGACGCGACGACGACGACGACGGAGGAGG